GAGUGAACGCUAGGCGGCGGUGCUUAAUACAUGCAAGUCGAGCGAAGCACGUUUAACGGAAGUUCUACCGGAAGGAAGGUAGAGUGACUGAGCGGCGGACGGGUGAGUAACGCGUGGGUAACCCGCCUUAUACAGGGGGAUAACAGUUAGAAAUGGCUGCUAAUACCGCAUAAGCGCACAGGGCCGCAUGGCCCGGUGUGAAAAACUCCGGUGGUAUAAGAUGGACCCGCGUCUGAUUAGCUGGUUGGUGGGGUAACGGCCCACCAAGGCGACGAUCAGUAGCCGGCCUGAGAGGGUGAACGGCCACAUUGGGACUGAGACACGGCCCAG
Molecule: ribosomal RNA, 330 nt
Filed under: uncultured bacterium
Lineage: Bacteria
Description: bacterial SSU rRNA
Rfam family: Bacterial small subunit ribosomal RNA
Source: RNAcentral